RNAcentral lists this transfer RNA (73 nucleotides) under Anguilla anguilla (European eel). RNAcentral describes it as "tRNA-OTHER". The record is from RNAcentral. Lineage: Eukaryota; Metazoa; Chordata; Actinopteri; Anguilliformes; Anguillidae.
UCGCCUUUAGCUGACUGGUAACGCGUUUGCUUAUGAAGUGAGAGGCCCGGGUUCAAAUCCCACCUCAGGCGAG